This 254-nucleotide ribosomal RNA is filed under the name uncultured bacterium. RNAcentral's name for it is "partial 16S ribosomal RNA". It matches the Rfam family "Bacterial small subunit ribosomal RNA", at positions 524 to 776 of the family's 1533-position model. The record is from RNAcentral.
UACGUAGGCAGCGAGCGUUGUUCGGAGUUACUGGGCGUAAAGGGUGUGUAGGCGGUUGUUUAAGUUUGGUGUGAAAUCUCCCGGCUCAACUGGGAGGGUGCGCCGAAUACUGAAUGACUUGGAGUGCGGGAGAGGAGAGUGGAAUUCCUGGUGUAGCGGUGAAAUGCGUAGAUAUCUGGAGGAACACCGGUGGCGAAGGCGGCGUUCUGGACUGCAACUGACACUGAUGAACGAAAGCCAGGGGAGCAAACGGG